RNAcentral lists this ribosomal RNA (513 nucleotides) under Septoria sp. FMY23. RNAcentral's name for it is "eukaryotic LSU rRNA". The stretch from base 151 to 304 matches the Rfam family "5.8S ribosomal RNA". The record is from RNAcentral. Lineage: Eukaryota; Fungi; Ascomycota; Dothideomycetes; Mycosphaerellales; Mycosphaerellaceae.
GGGCACUGACUGAUGGCUUCGGGCUCGACCUCCAACCCUUUGUGAACACAACUUGUUGCUUCGGGGGCGACCCUGCCGUUUCGACGGCGAGCGCCCCCGGAGACCAUCAAACACUGCAUCUUUGCGUCGGAGUUUAAGUAAAUUAAACAAAACUUUCAACAACGGAUCUCUUGGUUCUGGCAUCGAUGAAGAACGCAGCGAAAUGCGAUAAGUAAUGUGAAUUGCAGAAUUCAGUGAAUCAUCGAAUCUUUGAACGCACAUUGCGCCCUUUGGUAUUCCGAAGGGCAUGCCUGUUCGAGCGUCAUUUCACCACUCAAGCCUGGCUUGGUAUUGGGCGCCGCGGUCAAUCCGCGCGCCUCAAAGUCUCCGGCUGAGCUGUCCGUCUCUAAGCGUUGUGAUUUCAUUAAUCGCUUCGGAGUGCGGGCGGCCGCGGCCGUUAAAUCUUUCACAAGGUUGACCUCGGAUCAGGUAGGGAUACCCGCUGAACUUAAGCAUAUCAAUAAGGCGGAGGAA